UUCCCACUGAUUCGUGGGUAGUUAUUUUCUGUUUAGUGUGUUGUUUCACCUGACAGGACUGCUAUCCAAAAAAUAUGGCUCCAUCUAUGGUUCACUUUGGACCCAAGAAAGUGGUUGUUCUGGCAGGAUACAAGAUGGUCAAGCAGGCGCUGGUCAACCAUGCAGAGGAGUUUGGGGACAGGGGAACGCCGCCUGUGUUCUAAGAUUUCACCAGUGGACAUGGAAUUCUGGUUGCCAAUGGAGACUCAUGGAAAGAGAUGAGAUGCUUUGCCGUAGCGAACCUUAGACUUUGGCAUGGGCAAGAAAGGAAGUCAGGAGGAAAUUCGCUACCUUAUUCAAUUGUUAGAAAAAACAUGAGGGAAAAAUUUGAAGUUACGAUUUUUGAAUACCCAAAUAAGAUAACAAAUAUAUACAUGUUCUUAGUUUUGCUAAUUCUCUUUCUGUUGGGCUUUGUGACAGGUAAAGCAUUUGACACAACCCAGCCAAUGAAUUAUGAUGUCUCCAAUGUAAUCUCCAACAUUGUGUAUGGCAGCAGGUUUGAAUACUCUGACCCCAAGAUCCAAGCCAAUGAGAACCUCCAGAAUUAGUGGCUCUGUUUCAAUGCAGGUACAUGAUGUUUACUUUGUUUCUCACUCUUAGAGAAUAAUGCCAAACUGUUCACACUUGACUAAACCAGGAAAAUAAAAUAAAUAUUCCAUUUGUAGUAGGCUACAUUCAUGCUUUACUUUUUGUUUAUGGGAAGAUAGUGGUACAACAUGUUCCCAUGGCUGGGGCCUUGGCUGAAAACCAAUAAGCUUUUGUUAAAGAAUAUUGACAACAAGAAGGAAAUGAGGGAACUGGUGUGUGGGCUGAAGAAGACCCAGAACUUCAACCGUGUAUAAACUUUUUGAUAAUACAAGGGUUAAAAUUCUUGAAAUGAAUAACUUGCAUCUAAGGCAGGGGUGUCAAACUCAUUCAUUGGAGGGCCUACUGUCUGCAGGUUUUUGUUUUUUCCUUUCAAUUAAGCCCUAAAC
Oncorhynchus mykiss (rainbow trout) is the source of this 1013-nucleotide non-coding RNA. The record is from RefSeq and is a predicted model, not a curated record. Lineage: Eukaryota; Metazoa; Chordata; Actinopteri; Salmoniformes; Salmonidae.